This 501-nucleotide ribosomal RNA is filed under the name uncultured bacterium. RNAcentral describes it as "partial 16S ribosomal RNA". The record is from RNAcentral.
GUAGUUGGCCGGUGCUUCUUCUCGACCUACCGUCAACCCGUCAAAAAGACGAGCCUUCGUCGAUCGCGAAAGAGGUUUACAAUCCGAAAACCUUCAUCCCUCACGCGGCGUUGCUGGGUCAGGCUUUCGCCCAUUGCCCAAUAUUCCCCACUGCUGCCUCCCGUAGGAGUCUGGACCGUGUCUCAGUUCCAGUGUGGCCGAUCAGCCUCUCAGCUCGGCUACCCAUCGUCGACUUGGUGGGCCGUUACCCCGCCAACUAUCUAAUGGGACGCGAGCCCCUCCUUCAGCGAAUUGCUCCUUUGACCCCUCUACCAUGCGGUAGCGUGGUCUCAUGCGGUAUUAGCAGUAAUUUCUCACUGUUAUCCCCCUCUGAAGGACAGGUUGCUCACGCGUUACUCACCCGUUCGCCACUAACUCAAGGAGCAAGCUCCUCUCGUCCGUUCGACUUGCAUGUGUUAGGCACGCCGCCAGCGUUCGUCCUGAGCCAGGAUCAAACUCUGA